CGCUGGGAAGGCUGUGAUAAGGCGAGUGCUUGCUGGGGGUGCCUGUUGUCACAGGGUCCGGAGGUGCUGACGGAGAUCAAGUCCGUGGAGUCUGAGGAGGCCCAUCAUUCAAAUGGAUGAGGAAGCAAGUGGACCACCAGUACAGACACUGCUGAUGACCUGCAGCUUCCGUACCUAAUCUUCCCCCAGUGAGAACAGUGAUCACUCAAUAAAAUGUCAUGUCAAACUGCAAGACUGCUUGGAACAGUCAUGAACGCUCACUUGCCACCUGUAUUAAGAGACUUCAUAAAGGGCAGAACCAUAAGAAUUUGGUCCCACUGCAAGUGUUAAGUAAAAUGCUUCAUCCAUUCUGGGAUCUACAUACUGCAAACUGGAAUCGUAAUCCUCCAUCUCUGCUUUCCUCUCACUUGAUCUUGUUUGGAAAUGUGAAUAAAUACCUUAUUUUGGAAACUUGGUUCAUAAUUUG
This 466-nucleotide long non-coding RNA is filed under the name Apteryx rowi (Okarito brown kiwi). Its description in RNAcentral is "lncRNA (ENSARWG00000002907.1)". The record is from RNAcentral. Lineage: Eukaryota; Metazoa; Chordata; Aves; Apterygiformes; Apterygidae.